AGAGUUUGAUCAUGGCUCAGAUUGAACGCUGGCGGCAGGCCUAACACAUGCAAGUCGAACGGUAACAGGAAACAGCUUGCUGUUUCGCUGACGAGUGGCGGACGGGUGAGUAAUGUCUGGGAAACUGCCUGAUGGAGGGGGAUAACUACUGGAAACGGUAGCUAAUACCGCAUAACGUCGCAAGACCAAAGAGGGGGACCUUCGGGCCUCUUGCCAUCAGAUGUGCCCAGAUGGGAUUAGCUAGUAGGUGGGGUAACGGCUCACCUAGGCGACGAUCCCUAGCUGGUCUGAGAGGAUGACCAGCCACACUGGAACUGGGACACGGUCCAGACUCCUACGGGAGGCAGCAGUGGGGAAUAUUGCACAAUGGGCGCAAGCCUGAUGCAGCCAUGCCGCGUGUAUGAAGAAGGCCUUCGGGUUGUAAAGUACUUUCAGCGGGGAGGAAGGGAGUAAAGUUAAUACCUUUGCUCAUUGACGUUACCCGCAGAAGAAGCACCGGCUAACUCCGUGCCAGCAGCCGCGGUAAUACGGAGGGUGCAAGCGUUAAUCGGAAUUACUGGGCGUAAAGCGCACGCAGGCGGUUUGUUAAGUCAGAUGUGAAAUCCCCGGGCUCAACCUGGGAACUGCAUCUGAUACUGGCAAGCUUGAGUCUCGUAGAGGGGGGUAGAAUUCCAGGUGUAGCGGUGAAAUGCGUAGAGAUCAGGAGGAAUACCGGUGGCGAAGGCGGCCCCCUGGACGAAGACUGACGCUCAGGUGCGAAAGCGUGGGGAGCAAACAGGAUUAGAUACCCUGGUAGUCCACGCCGUAAACGAUGUCGACUUGGAGGUUGUGCCCUUGAGGCGUGGCUUCCGGAGCUAACGCGUUAAGUCGACCGCCUGGGGAGUACGGCCGCAAGGUUAAAACUCAAAUGAAUUGACGGGGGCCCGCACAAGCGGUGGAGCAUGUGGUUUAAUUCGAUGCAACGCGAAGAACCUUACCUGGUCUUGACAUCCACGGAAGUUUUCAGAGAUGAGAAUGUGCCUUCGGGAACCGUGAGACAGGUGCUGCAUGGCUGUCGUCAGCUCGUGUUGUGAAAUGUUGGGUUAAGUCCCGCAACGAGCGCAACCCUUAUCCUUUGUUGUCAGCGGUCCGGCCGGGAACUCAAAGGAGACUGCCAGUGAUAAACUGGAGGAAGGUGGGGAUGACGUCAAGUCAUCAUGGCCCUUACGACCAGGGCUACACACGUGCUACAAUGGCGCAUACAAAGAGAAGCGACCUCGCGAGAGCAAGCGGACCUCAUAAAGUGCGUCGUAGUCCGGAUUGGAGUCUGCAACUCGACUCCAUGAAGUCGGAAUCGCUAGUAAUCGUGGAUCAGAAUGCCACGGUGAAUACGUUCCCGGGCCUUGUACACACCGCCCGUCACACCAUGGGAGUGGGUUGCAAAAGAAGUAGGUAGCUUAACCUUCGGGAGGGCGCUCACCACUUUGUGAUU
Molecule: ribosomal RNA, 1471 nt
Filed under: metagenome
Description: bacterial SSU rRNA
Rfam family: Bacterial small subunit ribosomal RNA
Source: RNAcentral